AACGAACGCUGGCGGCAGGCCUAACACAUGCAAGUCGAGCGCCCCGCAAGGGGAGCGGCGGACGGGUGAGUAACGCGUGGGAACGUGCCCUUUGCUACGGAAUAGCCCCGGGAAACUGGGAGUAAUACCGUAUAAGCCCUACGGGGGAAAGAUUUAUCGGCAAAGGAUCGGCCCGCGUUGGAUUAGGUAGUUGGUGGGGUAAUGGCCUACCAAGCCGACGAUCCAUAGCUGGUUUGAGAGGAUGAUCAGCCACACUGGGACUGAGACACGGCCCAGACUCCUACGGGAGGCAGCAGUGGGGAAUCUUAGACAAGGGGCGCAAGCCUGAUCUAGCCAUGCCGCGUGAGCGAUGAAGGCCUUAGGGUUGUAAAGCUCUUUCGUGGGGGAAGAUAAUGACUGUACCCCAAGAAGAAGCCCCGGCUAACUCCGUGCCAGCCGCCGCGGUAA
Molecule: ribosomal RNA, 447 nt
Filed under: uncultured bacterium
Lineage: Bacteria
Description: partial 16S ribosomal RNA
Rfam family: Bacterial small subunit ribosomal RNA
Source: RNAcentral